Molecule: ribosomal RNA, 270 nt
Filed under: uncultured bacterium
Lineage: Bacteria
Description: partial 16S ribosomal RNA
Source: RNAcentral
CUGCUGCCUUCCGUAGGAGUCUGGUCCGUGUCUCAGUACCAGUGUGGGGGACCUUCCUCUCAGAACCCCUACGCAUCGUCGCCUCGGUGGGCCGUUACCCCGCCGACUAGCUAAUGCGCCGCAUGGCCAUCCGCAGCCGAUGAAUCUUUAACCGCCGAGGGAUACCCCUCUGCGGUGUUACGCGGUAUUAGACGGAAUUUCUUCCGCUUAUCCCCCUGCUGCGGGCAGGUUCCAUACGUGUUACUCACCCGUGCGCCGGUCGCCGGCGGG